Molecule: ribosomal RNA, 362 nt
Filed under: Ixodes ricinus (castor bean tick)
Lineage: Eukaryota; Metazoa; Arthropoda; Arachnida; Ixodida; Ixodidae
Description: partial 16S ribosomal RNA
Rfam family: Bacterial large subunit ribosomal RNA (bases 66-362)
Source: RNAcentral
AAAAGCUUUCUUUAAUUAAAUAAUUGAAUUUAAUUUUUUAGUGCAAAAGCAAAAAUAAAAAUUAGGGACAAGAAGACCCUAUGAAUUUUUUAUUAAAUUUUAUAAAACUUUAUGUAAAAUUUAAUUUAAUUGGGGUGAUGGAAAAAGAAUAAAUAUCUUUUUUUUAAAAGAAAAUUGGUUCCGUUUUUAGCGAUUGAAUGAAAAAAAUACUCUAGGGAUAACAGCGUAAUAAUUUUGGAUAGUUCAUAUAGAUAAAAUAGUUUGCGACCUCGAUGUUGGAUUAGGAUUCUUUUUUGGUGAAGAAGUUAAAAAAAGAAGUUUGUUCAACUUAUAAUUUCCUACUUGAUCUGAGUUCAGACCGG